Molecule: ribosomal RNA, 2028 nt
Filed under: termite gut metagenome
Description: bacterial LSU rRNA
Rfam family: Bacterial large subunit ribosomal RNA
Source: RNAcentral
UUAAGCAGUAAGAGCACAGGGAGGAUGCCUUGGCACUGAGAGCCGACGAAAGACGCGAUAAGCUGCGAAAAGCUGCGGGGAGGAGCAAAUAUCCUACGAUCCGCAGGUAUCUGAAUGGGGAAACCCACGCAAGGAAACCUUGCGUAUCCGUACAUGAACAAAUAGUGUACGGAGGGGAACCCGGUGAACUGAAACAUCUAAGUAGCCGGAGGAAAAGAAAACAAAAGUGAUUUCCGGAGUAGCGGCGAGCGAAACGGAAAGAGCCCAAACCCGGGCGCGAGCGUCCGGGGGUUCGGACCGCAAGAACUGAUCAUGAGCUGCAGCAGAACGCCCCUGGGAAGGGGGGACAGAGAGGGUGAAAUCCCCGUAAGCGAAGCGGCAGGUGACAGAGCGGGAUCCAGAGUACCGCGGGACACGAGAAAUCCUGCGGGAAUACGCGGGGACCACCCCGUAAGGCUAAAUACUCCUCAGUGACCGAUAGUGCACAGUACUGUGAAGGAAAGGUGAAAAGGACCCCGGGAGGGGAGUGAAAGAGAACCUGAAUCCCUGUGUUUACAAGCUGUGGGAGCACAAUGCCAUAGGCAGGUGCGACCGCGUACUUUUUGUAGAACGGUCCGGCGAGUUACGCCGUCUGGCAAGGUUAAGUGCCUAAGGCACGGAGCCGAAGUGAAAGCGAGCGUUAAAAGCGCGAAAAGCUACUUGUAGCUUUUUAGUCAGGCGACGUAGACCCGAAACCGGGUGACCUAUCCGUGUCCAGGCUGAAACUGCUGUAAAAAGCGGCGGAGGGCCGAACCCACAUCCGUUGAAAAGGGUGGGGAGGAGAUGCGGAUAGCGGAGAAAUUCCAAUCGAACCCGGAGAUAGCUGGUUCUCCUCGAAAUAGCUUUAGGGCUAGCCCCGUAUAAGCCUCACGGAGGUAGGGCGCUGAAUUUCCUAGGGGGCGUCAAAGCUUACCGAAGAAUAUCAAACUGCGAAUGCCGUGAAGGCGGUGUACGGGAGUCAGGCUGCCGGAGAUAAGUCGGGCAGCCGAAAGGGAAAGAGCCCAGACCCCCGGCUAAGGCCCCCAAGUGCGUGUUAAGUGGAAAAGGAUGUGGGAUUUCAAAGACAGCUAGGAUGUUGGCUCAGAAGCAGCCAUACAUUGAAAGAGUGCGUAAUAGCUCACUAGCCGAGAGGUCCCGCGCCGAAAAUGUCCGGGGCUAAAACACGCCGCCGAAGCCAGGGGAUGAGAUGAGAGAUCAUCUUGUCGGUAGAGGAGCAAUCUUAAAGGGAAGAAGCUGUACCGCAAGGAGCAGUGGACUUUUAAGAAGAGAGAAUGCCGGAAUGAGUAGCGAGAGGAAGGUGAGAAUCCUUCCGGCCGAAUAUCCAAGGAUUCCGGGGUAAAGCUGAUCUGCCCCGGGUAAGUCGGGGCCUAAGGCGAGGCAGAAAUGCGUAGCCGAUGGACAACAGGUGGAGAUUCCUGUACUGCAAGGCAACAGAACUGCAGGGACGUGCCGCGCGGACGCGACCGGGAACGGAAAACCCGGAGCAAGGCGCCAAGCUGCUGGGGAGGCAAAUCCCCCCAGGGAAAGCAAGACGCUUACGCGGAGCGAAAGAAAGUAGCGAAGAGCGCGGGCGCGGCACCGAGAAAAGCUGCUAUAGCUUGCCAUGCACCCGUACCGUAAACCGACACAGGUGGAUGAGGAGAGAAUCCUCAGGCCGACGGAAGAAGCAUCGUCAAGGAACUCGGCAAAAUGACCCCGUAACUUCGGGAGAAGGGGUGCCACAGCAAUGUGGCCGCAGAGAAAAGGCUCAAGCAACUGUUUAGCAAAAACACAGGUCUAUGCGAAACCGGAAGGUGAGGUAUAUGGGCUGACGCCUGCCCGGUGCCGGAAGGUCAAGAGGAGAGGUCAGCAGGACGAUUUCGUCCCAGCGAAGCCUUGAAUUCAAGCCCCGGUAAACGGCGGCCGUAACUAUAACGGUCCUAAGGUAGCGAAAUUCCUUGUCGGGUAAGUUCCGACCCGCACGAAAGGCGUAAUGAUUUGAGCACUGUC